UACGAAGGGGGCUAGCGUUGUUCGGAAUAACUGGGCGUAAAGCGCACGUAGGCGGAUUGUUUAGUCGGGGGUGAAAUCCCGGGGCUCAACCCCGGAACUGCCCCCGAUACUGGCAAUCUUGAGUCCGAGAGAGGUGAGUGGAAUUCCGAGUGUAGAGGUGAAAUUCGUAGAUAUUCGGAGGAACACCAGUGGCGAAGGCGGCUCACUGGCUCGGUACUGACGCUGAGGUGCGAAAGCGUGGGGAGCAAACAGG
RNAcentral lists this ribosomal RNA (253 nucleotides) under uncultured bacterium. RNAcentral describes it as "partial 16S ribosomal RNA". It matches the Rfam family "Bacterial small subunit ribosomal RNA", at positions 524 to 776 of the family's 1533-position model. The record is from RNAcentral.